Molecule: ribosomal RNA, 467 nt
Filed under: uncultured bacterium
Lineage: Bacteria
Description: SSU rRNA
Rfam family: Bacterial small subunit ribosomal RNA
Source: RNAcentral
AACGAACGCUGGCGGCGCGUCUUAAGCAUGCAAGUCGAACGGGAUCAAGAAAGCUUGCUUUCUUGUGAUAGUGGCGGAUUGGUGAGUAACACGUGGGUGACGUACCCUUCAGAUGGGGAUAGAUAUUAGAAAUAGUAGAUAAUACCGAAUACGGUUCCACAAGUUAGAGAGGUGGAAGGAAAGGAGCUUCGGCUCCGCUGAAGGAACGGCUCGCGGCCCAUUAGUUAGUUGGUAAGGUAAAGGCCUACCAAGACGAUGAUGGGUAUCCGACCUAAGAGGGUAAACGGACACAUUGGGACUGAGAUACGGCCCAGACUCCUACGGGAGGCAGCAGCUAAGAAUAUUCCGCAAUGGACGAAAGUCUGACGGAGCGACGCCGCGUGGAUGAUGAAGGCCGCAAGGUUGUAAAAUCCUUUUGAACUUGACGAAUAAGUACAGUAGGCAAUGACUGUAUGGUGACGGUAGAG